This 579-nucleotide ribosomal RNA is filed under the name Chaetomium globosum. RNAcentral's name for it is "eukaryotic LSU rRNA". The stretch from base 207 to 360 matches the Rfam family "5.8S ribosomal RNA". Lineage: Eukaryota; Fungi; Ascomycota; Sordariomycetes; Sordariales; Chaetomiaceae. The record is from RNAcentral.
UCCGUAGGGUGAACCUGCGGAGGGAUCAUUACAGAGUUGCAAAACUCCCUAAACCAUUGUGAACGUUACCUAUACCGUUGCUUCGGCGGGCGGCCCCGGGGUUUACCCCCCGGGCGCCCCUGGGCCCCACCGCGGGCGCCCGCCGGAGGUCACCAAACUCUUGAUAAUUUAUGGCCUCUCUGAGUCUUCUGUACUGAAUAAGUCAAAACUUUCAACAACGGAUCUCUUGGUUCUGGCAUCGAUGAAGAACGCAGCGAAAUGCGAUAAGUAAUGUGAAUUGCAGAAUUCAGUGAAUCAUCGAAUCUUUGAACGCACAUUGCGCCCGCCAGCAUUCUGGCGGGCAUGCCUGUUCGAGCGUCAUUUCAACCAUCAAGCCCCCGGGCUUGUGUUGGGGACCUGCGGCUGCCGCAGGCCCUGAAAAGCAGUGGCGGGCUCGCUGUCGCACCGAGCGUAGUAGCAUACAUCUCGCUCUGGUCGCGCCGCGGGUUCCGGCCGUUAAACCACCUUUUUAACCCAAGGUUGACCUCGGAUCAGGUAGGAAGACCCGCUGAACUUAAGCAUAUCAAUAAGGCGGAGGAA